CACCUACGCGGGUAUAGUCUGCAGACUUUGCCCUGCCAGGCACAGCCUGCCAGGCACUGCUCGACCGUGUGGACGUGGCUUUAGACGCGUUAACAUAUAUUCUAAUCUUAUUACCUUUACUUUUGCAGCAUGAGAGGUAAAGCGCCUCCUAAGCGUUAUCAAAAGUAAAGAGAGAGGUCAAAAUGAGAGGCAAACCCAAAUCCUUCAUGAUUUAUUUUCUUGCGGAGCGAUUUUUUGAGGCCUCUCUCCACUACAAGCAUCCAUUCUCAUUAAUUUCAAUCCUUGACUAUGUUCUAACAAAGGAAUCCAUUCACCAUUGCAAGUUUUAACUCCGGGCGCUGAUGACCAGAUCAACCUUGACGCAGAGACUCGAGGCCAAGUGAAGGACCUCAUGGAGACUCUGAUCGAAGAGGAAAUCCUGGACUUCCGCCGGGGUUGGGUCCUCGCCUCCAACUUUCAAGUCGGUCCAUGUUCCGUCGUUUACACCUGACCUCAGUGUUCAUCUGUAAGUGGACUUCCAGCUGGACUGUUUGCUUGAACUUGAACCAAGUGGACUAUCCGACUCACACAAGAGACUGACGCAAAGCCCCCGGGCUUGAAGGACGACCAAAGCCAGGUGGUUUCCGCCUCGACGACGAAGGCGCUGUGAUACUGACGAGGGAAUCGAUUUCCCGAUUUCACCUUUCCUACCUGUCUCCCCUGUACGUGGAAUGGGUAGCCACAGAAUGCAAUGACUGUAACUCUCCUCUGAGUCGCCGAUGGAAUUAUUACUCUCAUGUUGCAAUGACUGCAAUAUGUUGGAAAAACCCAUCUGGUUGUUUAUACAGGAUCUGUUUUUAUUUUAUGCGUAUGACUGCGAGGUUCAAUCGCUAUUGAAGAUAUCCCAUUUGGUAAAUAAAAUAUGGAUUUGUU
Molecule: long non-coding RNA, 912 nt
Filed under: Penaeus japonicus
Lineage: Eukaryota; Metazoa; Arthropoda; Malacostraca; Decapoda; Penaeidae
Description: uncharacterized LOC122267535
Source: RNAcentral